GACGAACGCUGGCGGCGUGCUUAACACAUGCAAGUCGAACGGAAAGGCCCUGCUUUUGUGGGGUGCUCGAGUGGCGAACGGGUGAGUAACACGUGAGUAUCCUGCCCUUGACUUUGGGAUAUCUUCAGGAAACUGGGGCUAAUACCGGAUAGGAUCUCUUGCUGCAUGGUGGGGGUUGGAAAGUUUCGGCGGUUGGGGAUGGACUCGCGGCUUAUCAGCUUGUUUGUGGGGUAGUGGCUUACCAAGGGUUUGACGGGUAGCCGGCCUGAGAGGGGGACCGGCGACAUGAGGACUGAGAUACGGACCAGAAUCCUACGGGGGGCAGCAGUGGGGAAUAUUACACAAUGGGCGGAAGCCUGAUGCAGCAACGCCGCGUGCGGGAUGACGGCCUUCGAGUUGUAAACCGCUUUCGCCUGUGACGAAGCGUGAGUGACGGUAAUGGGUAAAGAAGCACCGGCUAACUACGUG
This 468-nucleotide ribosomal RNA is filed under the name uncultured bacterium. RNAcentral's name for it is "partial 16S ribosomal RNA". It matches the Rfam family "Bacterial small subunit ribosomal RNA", at positions 28 to 507 of the family's 1533-position model. The record is from RNAcentral.